UCCAAUAUCUACAGCCGAGGUUCAUUCUUCUUAUUGAAUAACUAAUCGAGGGUCCUCCAUAUUUCGUGGGCUGAUUUGCAGCUUAUAAUAUGAUCAAAUAAACUGGAGGCGAUGAAUUUCUUCAAGAUGAACUCCGCCUUCCCAUUAGUCUGCUUCCACUUCUUAUAUGCACCAUCAUUUUCCGAUUCGUCGAUAGGAGGACUUGUGUUACUUCCGUUGACAACCACAAGUCCCCACCCACAAGGUAUGAUUCUAUAUAUGUCUUCCAUACCUUGUAAUUGGACUGAUUUAACAACUCCAUGCCUAGUUCAUUACCAUGACCGCUAAAACCCAUAGAGAGAAACAAGUUGAAUUUAUCACUAACCCGAUCUUGAAAUAACAUUAAGAAGUCAACGUGUGGCUAUGACUCUGAUACCAAGUAGAGAAUAGUAAAAAAAAGGUGUAGUUGAAGAGACCUUCUACUAGCCCAAGAUCGUUAACUAAGAUCGAAAGAUUCAACUACGAAGAGGAAGCUAGAAAGAUGAAGGAAGAUAUUGAAAGAAGAACUUCGAUUUGGAAGAAGAUUACUUGGAUAUGCUUUGUAUUGGAU
This 589-nucleotide long non-coding RNA is filed under the name Capsicum annuum. Its description in RNAcentral is "long non-coding RNA (CANN_LNC003399)". Lineage: Eukaryota; Viridiplantae; Streptophyta; Magnoliopsida; Solanales; Solanaceae. The record is from RNAcentral.